GUCCCUCCCCCAACCACCCCGAACGGAUAGACAGGCACGUACAAUUCAGAGGACUUUCGAAAUUAUCUAAAAACAUGGGUGAUUCUCACUGCCAGCCUUGUCUGUGAGAAAAGUACAUAUCUAUGUCUGCACAGAUACGAGACAAAAAAUAAACCUUUAAUUUUUAAAAAUUAAAAUGUACACAGUAAUCUUGCUGUUAGUAUUGAAUUAAAACUAAAUAGGCAUGACUGUUCCUUGAAAGGAAUGAUAUAAUUUUCUUUAAUAUUUCAUGAGGUCUUCCCUUUUCAAUAAAGAUUAUUGCAAGUCACCAGAAAUAUUAGGUAUCUUGAGGUAUAUUCAGAUCGUUUUAAUUGUCCUCUCAAAUGAAAAAGGUCAAUAUACAAAUCCACCAUAAUCAGUUUUGUUAUUAUUCAUAUUUAAUUGGACCUGCCAGUCAAGUUAACUCCCAGGAUAUGGGAACACGGUAAAAUUCUAAGUACCACAGGUUAUAAAAAAGUUCCUCAAAACCAGUACUUA
RNAcentral lists this long non-coding RNA (516 nucleotides) under Homo sapiens (human). RNAcentral describes it as "non-protein coding lnc-MAB21L1-2:4". Lineage: Eukaryota; Metazoa; Chordata; Mammalia; Primates; Hominidae. The record is from RNAcentral.